Molecule: long non-coding RNA, 1496 nt
Filed under: Equus caballus (horse)
Lineage: Eukaryota; Metazoa; Chordata; Mammalia; Perissodactyla; Equidae
Description: lncRNA (ENSECAG00000045722.1)
Source: RNAcentral
AAGUGGGGAUUUGACUGUGGAGCCAAGCAGAGGUGGGGAGAGUGAGGAUCUCCCUGUAGCAAGAAGGAAAGUCAGCAGUCCACGGCCAGUAGCAACAAGAGUCAAUGAAAAGAACUGUGCCCUCAAAAGGUGAGUGUGGGGAACUUGGAGCGUGCUGCCACACAGCAAUCCCCGCAGAAUAAAGAGUUAAGGGAAGUGGGAUUGGAUGCGGCUCUCAGACCAUCAGGUGAUGUCCAUAAGAGAAAGGAUGAGUGCAGUUCCCAGUUUCCAGGCAGGAAGCAGACCACCGUAUGAUUCUGCUGAAGGGAUAUCGUUCCUCCUGUAGCCAGGGCUUUGAGAUUGCUGAACAUCGUGGGUCAUGAAGGUGACUUUGCAAGAAAGGCAUACGGAAUUUCACAUUUGGGAGAUAAUUCAGUGUCAUGAAAAAACUAUCAAAACCAGCAAACAAUGUUCAUUUUCUUCCUGAAUCUGCAAAACUCUCAAAGAGAAUGAAAGUCACUGGGGAGACGUGUUUGGAGACAGCUUGCCUAUCUCGGGACACCUGAAUAUCCUCCUACAGUUGAGGAUGAACGUGUAUUCCAGCAACUAAGUUCUGAUAUAAUCUGACAACAAACUAAGAGCUGGAUAGGAAAGAGUUAAGGAAGCGAGGUCUCCCAACCCCGGAGGAGGAUGAUGCGCUGACCCUGUGUCUGUCUUGCAGCAGGAAUUUGGCAGUAGAAGAGAAGAAAUUUGCUUACCAAAUAGAAAGGUUUGUGGAUGUUGGGAAAUAAUCUUUUUAGUUACCCUUUGCCUGGAGUCUUAUUUUCUCCACAGAGGACUAUCAAUAACCCCGCCUACUUUCCAUACCAUGGUCAUAGGCAGUCUCAACCAUAAACAGAGGAAGGGGAAAGCUUAUGGUAUCCUUGGAAGUUCCCAAAUGUUCAACUGCUCAAAAAUAGCCCCAUUGUGGUAACAGAAAAACCUAACACUGGAUGUGCCUCCUUCUGGGUUUGGGCGAGACACUGUGUAUCCAAGAAGCAUCUGCUGAAAACCAGAAUAGCAGCCACCGCAGAAAUAAAUACUCCCUGAUGAAACCCAACAGUUCCAUCUACUAAUAUUUUUAUUAUCCAAUUUUUUAUGUUCCUGGAUUAGUUGUCUAGUCACAAGGCCUGGGGGAUUGGGAUCUUAAAAAAUAAAUCAUGAUGGUGGAAAAAGUCAGAGACUAUUAAAACUAUGGAGCACUUGUGCUACGCAGAAUUUCUUGGUAUGGAGUAUGUAGUCCAGAAAGCUACUCCUACUGAAAACUCAUCGUUACCAGACGCGUGGAGAUGUCUCCGUAUUUUCUCUUGGACACAUUACAGGCCUAUGGUCGCCUAAGAAACUAUCAGGGUGACAUUUACCUUGGCGUGCCUUUCCCCAAAGUAUUGUCUGAGGAAAUAAAUUCUGUGAGCUACUCUGAAAUACAAGAAUUUUGGAGUCACGUAAGUUUAUUUCUAUAUUGUAUCCCAUUAUUAAAA